GACGAACGCUGGCGGCGUGCUUAACACAUGCAAGUCGAACGGAAAGGCCCUGCUUUUGUGGGGUGCUCGAGUGGCGAACGGGUGAGUAACACGUGAGUAACCUGCCCUUGACUUUGGGAUAACUUCAGGAAACUGGGGCUAAUACCGGAUAGGAGCUCCUGCUGCAUGGUGGGUUUGGAAAGUUUCGGCGGUUGGGGAUGGACUCGCGGCUUAUCAGCUUGUUGGUGGGGUAGUGGCUUACCAAGGCUUUGACGGGUAGCCGGCCUGAGAGGGUGACCGGCCACAUUGGGACUGAGAUACGGCCCAGACUCCUACGGGAGGCAGCAGUGGGGAAUAUUGCACAAUGGGCGGAAGCCUGAUGCAGCAACGCCGCGUGCGGGAUGACGGCCUUCGGGUUGUAAACCGCUUUCGCCUGUGACGAAGCGUGAGUGACGGUAAUGGGUAAAGAAGCACCGGCUAACUACGUG
This 467-nucleotide ribosomal RNA is filed under the name uncultured bacterium. RNAcentral's name for it is "partial 16S ribosomal RNA". It matches the Rfam family "Bacterial small subunit ribosomal RNA", at positions 28 to 507 of the family's 1533-position model. The record is from RNAcentral.